UGCAGUCGAGCGGAUGAGGGAGCUUGCUCCUGGAUUCAGCGGCGGACGGGUGAGUAAUGCCUAGGAAUCUGCCUGGUAGUGGGGGAUAACGUCCGGAAACGGGCGCUAAUACCGCAUACGUCCUGAGGGAGAAAGUGGGGGAUCUUCGGACCUCACGCUAUCAGAUGAGCCUAGGUCGGAUUAGCUAGUUGGUGGGGUAAAGGCCUACCAAGGCGACGAUCCGUAACUGGUCUGAGAGGAUGAUCAGUCACACUGGAACUGAGACACGGUCCAGACUCCUACGGGAGGCAGCAGUGGGGAAUAUUGGACAAUGGGCGAAAGCCUGAUCCAGCCAUGCCGCGUGUGUGAAGAAGGUCUUCGGAUUGUAAAGCACUUUAAGUUGGGAGGAAGGGCAGUAAGUUAAUACCUUGCUGUUUUGACGUUACCAACAGAAUAAGCACCGGCUAACUUCGUGCCAGCAGCCGCGGUAAUACGAAGGGUGCAAGCGUUAAUCGGAAUUACUGGGCGUAAAGCGCGCGUAGGUGGUUCAGCAAGUUGGAUGUGAAAUCCCCGGGCUCAACCUGGGAACUGCAUCCAAAACUACUGAGCUAGAGUACGGUAGAGGGUGGUGGAAUUUCCUGUGUAGCGGUGAAAUGCGUAGAUAUAGGAAGGAACACCAGUGGCGAAGGCGACCACCUGGACUGAUACUGACACUGAGGUGCGAAAGCGUGGGGAGCAAACAGGAUUAGAUACCCUGGUAGUCCACGCCGUAAACGAUGUCGACUAGCCGUUGGGAUCCUUGAGAUCUUAGUGGCGCAGCUAACGCGAUAAGUCGACCGCCUGGGGAGUACGGCCGCAACGUUAAAACUCAAAUGAAUUGA
RNAcentral lists this ribosomal RNA (860 nucleotides) under Pseudomonas aeruginosa. Its description in RNAcentral is "bacterial SSU rRNA". It matches the Rfam family "Bacterial small subunit ribosomal RNA", at positions 56 to 913 of the family's 1533-position model. Lineage: Bacteria; Pseudomonadati; Pseudomonadota; Gammaproteobacteria; Pseudomonadales; Pseudomonadaceae. The record is from RNAcentral.